CGACCGGCGCACGGGUGAGUAACACGUAUGGAACCUGCCCGCAGCAGGGGGAUAAGCGGAAGAAAUUCCGUCUAAUACCGCGUAACAACGUUGGGAGGCAUCUCCCGAUGUUUAAAGAUUUAUCGGCUGCGGAUGGCCAUGCGGCGCAUUAGCUAGUCGGCGGGGUAACGGCCCACCGAGGCGACGAUGCGUAGGGGCUCUGAGAGGAAGGUCCCCCACACUGGUACUGAGACACGGACCAGACUCCUACGGAAGGCAGCAG
Molecule: ribosomal RNA, 262 nt
Filed under: uncultured bacterium
Lineage: Bacteria
Description: partial 16S ribosomal RNA
Rfam family: Bacterial small subunit ribosomal RNA
Source: RNAcentral